RNAcentral lists this long non-coding RNA (13737 nucleotides) under Durio zibethinus. RNAcentral describes it as "long non-coding RNA (DZIB_LNC000536)". The record is from RNAcentral. Lineage: Eukaryota; Viridiplantae; Streptophyta; Magnoliopsida; Malvales; Malvaceae.
UGGAAAUACAAUAUUUUUCCCUGCAGCUAGGUUUACUUUCAUCAAUAUUUUUCCUUCUUGGCUGCUGCAGCCUGUUCGCAAAUGCUACUGAUAUUGUUAGAUUUGAUGAAAACUAUGAAAUUACAUGGGGAAGUGAUCAUGUUUUGUCUUUAAAUCAAGGAAGUGAAAUUCAGCUCUCAAUGGAUAUCUCUUCCGGUUAUCUUCUUUCUCUCCUAACACUCACUUAAUAGCUAUAAAUACAAUAUAAUUUAUGGUACAGAACAUUAUGCAUGCUUUUUUUUUUUUUUACUUUUUUUUUUUUUAAAGAAAAACAGACAUAUAUGUUUCAUUUGACUUAGUUGAAAAUUAUGUCACAUGGUUUAUAACAUCUUAGAGAAUCUUUUAUUUUUCUUAAAAAUCUUAAAUAUCAAUAUUUAUAUGAUACGUUUAUAGAGUACUAAAUUAUUAAUUUCAAUAAUCAAAAUUUAAUUUUUUAAUAACUUUAAAUUAAUAUAUUAAAAAUAUUUAAACCCUAAUCAUUAAUAAGAAUCUAACACUAUAUGAAUAGAUACUAUCAUUGUUAUCACUUAUAAGGGAUUGAUUUAAUCCACUGUUCUAUCUUGAAGUGCGGAAUAUUGAGGUGUUUUAAAAUGUGGUGGAAUUAUUAAAAAAAAAAAAACCAAUUCCAAAUAAAUCUUUAGUGAUAUUCCCCACUAUAUUUACUUCUUCCAUUUUUUUGUCCACUAUUGUUUAUUGAAGAAAUUAAAAUGAUCACUUACAGGAGCUGGGUUGAGUGGUCGAGCUGAGUUAUGUUUAGUGGUUUUUUCAUUUGAGGAUAAACUACCAAUAAGGAUUCUGCUGGAGUUGUUACUGGCUUUUUACGUAAAAAUUAUCUUUUCAUUUCCUGUUUAAUUUCCUCUUGAAGUUACCAAUAUUCUUAUUGAUUAUCUGUAAUGAAAUUAACAGCUGACAUCAAAGGCAAGAGGCAUGACGGCUGGAUUUGAGUUCUUGGGUAAUAGAGAAGGCAAGCCGAUUAGCCUUGCAAACCAAUGUGUUCGCAGAUGGUGUUGGGCAAUAGAGAGCAAAGGUUUUUUCUCUGGUUUGAUCCUACCUGCAGAUUUCCACGAAUUACCAAAUUCUUUGGAACCAACACCAAAUUGUGUACGAAUAAUCUUCCCCUUCCUCCUUUUUCUGCAUUGCAUGCCUUAAUUAAUAUGAUUAUUUUCGCAUCAAUAAUUUUGUGAAAAUAUAUUUUUUUGAAUUUAAAAUUUAACUCAAUUAAUUUACGUACUCAUUUUUAAACAAUGAAAUCCAAUGAAUUUAAUAUUUAAAUAAAAACAUCUAUAAUUUCUUAUUUAUCAUCAAAUUACGCUUAUGACUGACUAUACGAUUAUAUUUAAAAUACAUGUGGUUUUAGUUAAAUGUGAUGAGAACCUCUUUUCACUGCACUGAAUUGCCUAUCAAAAUGGACACUAUAUAUAUAACUAUAUGUAUAGGUAUAUUUAUGCAUAUGGAUGCCUGUGUUUACAGAUUCUACGUGGACGACAUCCCGAUCAGGGUGUUCAAGAACAACGACGAUAUUGGAGUUGGGUACCCAUCACAGCCGAUGAAAAUAGAAGUAAGUUUGUGGGAUGGAGAUAGCUGGGCAACCGAUGGAGGCCGAACAAAGACUAAUUGGAGCAUGGCACCUUUCAAAGCCCAUUUCCAAGGAUUUGAUAUAAGUGGUUGCCCAAUAAUUCAGAACUCGAGCAACAUUCAACAAUGUUAUUCUCCCAAUUAUUGGUGGAAUUCAGAGAAAUAUUGGAAGUUAGACUCCAAGCAACAAGGAGAACUGCAAAAUGUAAGAAAGGAAUACAUGAACUAUGACUAUUGUUCGGAUAGGCCUAGAUACCCUGUUCCUCCUCCGGAGUGCCUUCAUCAAUAGCAGGCUAGAGUUCGUGGGGAUGGGUUAAUUUAAGUUGCUAUAUUAAAUAACAAUGCAGCUGAUGUAAUAAAAGAAAAUUUUAAAUUGUUCCACUUUAUAAAAUUAUUAUAGUUAUUUAUUAAUACUUUUUAAUAAUAAAUAUUUUCCCAUAAGUUAGGAAGUAGAUUAUUGUUACAUAUUCUACCAUGAAUUAGGAUCUAUUAUAGUUAGUAACAGCACAAGGUGACCAUUUCUCUCAUGGAAAACUCAUGCUUGAACUGAUCAAGUUACAAUAAAUUAACACAAAAAUACUUGAUUUUGGUUUUGAUUUGAUUGCUUCUUCUCUUUUACUAUAUUUUUCCCAUAAAACGAAAUUAAACAUAUCGAUGAAGACAAAUGAUAAAAAGUUUAUUACAACUAUCAAACAGUAAUAAAAAUUAAGGCAAUAUAAUAAAAUAAUAAAUUUUUUAAUUUUUAAUUUUUAAAUCGAUUAAUUCAUAUAGUUAUAUAAUAUUUUUGAUAUUCAAAUUCUAAGGUUUGUAAUUUCUUCUUAUACUCUUGUGCUAUCAUGUUACAAUCUCUUUAAAAAAUAAAUAAAUAAAUAAAUUUUCACCGGCCAAUUGCCUAAUUUAUAAAGUUGUCACAUGCUGAUUUGUUUUUAUUAUUCAUAAUCGAACGGGCUUAUAAAGCCCAAUCUACGAUCCAAGAACUCCAUCUGUAAUUGGCCGAAAAAAGAGAAAUUGUAUAAUUAAAAAGAAAAAAGUCUUCACCGAUCAGGUAAUUUUUUUGAAAGCUACGGGGACUGGGUAUUCCCAUGGCGGAUUUUCUAUAUCCAGUAGCAUAUUUUCAGUUUGCUACCCCAGUAAUGGCCCUUCUUCAAAGACCCUUUUUUGUGCUACUUCUUAUACUAACUCAUCAAUUCAUGCAAUGUUGGAUUGCUUUUGGAUCGGUCAAUGAAGAAGGAAAAAAACAAGAAGAAGAAUUCAAUGAGGAGCUACUAUUGAAGCCGUUGCCAGAUCGCAACGUGUUGGCCCAUUUCCAUUUUCGAAGCUCUGCCCCUCUUUCCACCACUUAUUUCCCAAAGCCAUUUCUCAAUUGGUACUUUUUUUAUUAGUUUAUUUUAUUUUUUCUUUUGGGUCACCGAGAAAUCUUACGCUUUUUUUUUUUUUGGUAUUUAUGUUCUUUCAUGUUGCUUUUGUUUAAAUGGAGUUAGAGAAAAGCUAGCUUAGCCAAGUCAGGUGGCUUUCUUCAGUUUCUGAAUCUAUCAGUAACUUAGAAAGGUGGUAGGAAAGCCCAAAACUUAAAUCUUUCCUUUGCUCUUCAUACAUUUAUUAGCAAAAUAUUUAAUCAUUGUGUGGUGUAAAGAGGAUUUUGGGUUUACUUGCUUUUGAUAUGCUUUGGUCUGUAUGUUGAUUUUUUAAGUUUAUCGUAAUGUUUGAAUAAAUAUUAAUAAAAUAAUAAAAAAAUAAUAUAUGUAUAAUUAUUUGGAUAAUUAAAAUUAAAAAAAAAAAUUUUUAUCAAUUAUUAUUUGGAUAAAUAAUAAAAAAAAGAAAAUGAUUCAUUAUAAUAAUUUUUUUAUUUAUAAUUUUUUAUUAUUUGUAAUUUUAAAAUAUUUUUGGAUAAUGAUAUAUUUGUUAUCUUAUUUAGCUUCAAAAUUAUUGUUAUAUCAGUGAUUUUUAAUCAAGUAAAACAUAAAGUUAUUUUACAAACAUGCAUUAAUGAAUUUUUUGAUCAUUAUCAAAACUUUAAUACACUAUUACUUUGACAAUAUAUUCAUAUAAAACUAUUAAAUAUAAAAAAUACAAUCAUAUGAAAACAUUACAUACUAAAGAAUUAUAUGUCCUUUUUGCACCAAACAAAAAGUAAUAAUAUAUUAUCAUAUAGUUGUCUAAUAUAAAUUUAUUUUAUCAAAAAGAGAUGAUUUUGAAAAAAUUAUAAGAAAAUUAUGAUGUGGUUUUGUUUUUUUUACUAAUUUUCUAGUAUUAAUAAAAAAAUAGAUAUAAUAAUCUUUUAAUAAAAAUAAAAUUUUUUUCAAUUUUCAUUUUUUUAGCUUUUUUUUAAAAAUUGAAAUAUUAAAAAAAUGAAGAUUACAAGAAAAAACAAAAGUUAUUGAGUUUUCACAUAUAUAUUUUUUUAAAUUAAAAAUUUAUCCAAACAAAAUUUUUUUUUCUGUUUUCAUUAUUAUUUUUUAUUUCUCUUUCUUUUUCUUUUCCUCUCCUUAAUCGAAUCAUACAGUAAGGAUCAGGUUAAGUAGGGAGUAAGGACUAUGGACUGGAGUUGUCAACUCAGGCUGAGUCAAUUUAAGUAGUUAGUGGACUGCAUCAAGUUACCAAAUAAUCGGGAUUUAAAAUUUUGAUUUAUUAGCUUUUGUUUCAUGAUGAAAAAUAGAUGCAUUAUAAGGUUAAAUCUUAUCAUUAUUGUCUUUGGAGCACUCAGCUUGGCCUGAGUCAAUUAAGGUAGGUCAUACAGGCUCUUUUUUUCUUUAAAGCCUUCUAUUAGCUUAUUUACAUAAAAAAUAUCAUUCAACCUAUCUCUGCAUUUUCCUAAUCAAGUUAUGAUUAGUUCAUUGUUUUCCGCAUUCAUAAAUAUACAUGAGAAUGAAAUGUUCUUAUGAACUCAUCCAACCUUUUCAGCAAUGUUAUGUCUGACAUGAAGUACAAAAUUGGCUACAAGUUUACCUGAAAAAUAUUAUGCACGAAUUGUGUAUGUCUUGCAUUAAUUUGUCUAUCUCUCUUUGUGUAAGGUAAAGAUAAGAGUCUUGAUAAACUUCCCAUUGUAGAUUUUACAAAGCGAGGAUCAGUACCCUUCUUAGGAGAAGAUGAAUAAACAUUCCUGCUCAUAUUUGGAAGAGGAACCUCCCACCGGCAUUGCAUUGGUGUAAUCAGGACAUAGAAUCAACGAACAGUCAAUGAUAAACCAUAAUGAAACAUAUAACCAACGAAUUGCUAUAACCUAAUGGAAAAGUGGUUGAUAUGGAACUGACUUAAAAAUGAGAAACGGGGUAGCCGUCAUGGAAAGCUAAGAUUCAUAAUAGGUUAGGGAAAAAGGAUGCCUUUUAAAUGAUACAGCUGUCUAAUCUUUUAAUGUUUACUGCAGUAUUUUUUAUUUCUACAUUUCGAGUAUUUCACAAACACCUUCUACCCCUCUCUCAUGUACAUACAUCUUAUUCAUCCAAAUCUAUUUGCCAUAUUGCAGAACCGAAUUCUAAUCUUUCCAUAACAUUCUACUUAACUUCCAUCAUUUACUUCAGCGUUUUACAUUACAUGACUGUUAAUAUUAGAAAUAUUCCAAAUAUUUCCUGAUUGUUGAAACCUCAAAAUGACAUCCAAUAUCAACAUAAUUGUUCUUUGGAUUAUUAUCCAAUCCGCUGCUAGUGCAGUGCAAACGCUCCACAAGCAGGAUUGUUUGAUGCAAUGCUUCCGUUUAACAAAAUGGACAUAGAAUUAGGAAGUUAACCUAACCGCUAAGUAAGGCAUGAAAAUUGAACAACCCCUUGAAGAGCUUUUGUGUUCUAAUAUUGUUGUAUAAGAUAAUGAUGUAUAUUCUUUUAUGACUAAGUCCUAAAGGAUGAUAGGAAAAGAAUAACGAAGAAAAGUUUGAAUACAAAGUCUUGACAACUAAUGCAGAUGUCUUACACUUCCAAAGAUCCAUUUCCCAGUAAGACAGCCAGAUAGCCCAUCCGUUGGUUGCAUUUAGAAUCAUUUAUAUCAUAAGGCUUCCAUUUUACAUCCCAAGCAACUUUUCCAUUGUGAGCUAGAAAGAGGACAGCUCUUGGCAGUGCAAUGUCACCUGGAAUAGAAGAACCGGGGCUGAACUCGAACGAAUUACUAUCUAAAAGAUUAUUCGGCACAGUAGCAUCCUGCCAGAGUUGUAACAAAUUUGUUGGUUUAUUGUCAAUGAAGAUUCUGUUUCUUCAUUUUGAGUCAAUAAUGGGAGGCAUUUACCAUCACUAAUAGUUUUUUGCUCGUGCCUUACUUUUCAAUUUUCUACUUUCCACAGAUGUAUUAGGGGCUGCAUCAGAUGAAAAUGCUGCCUCUUUGUCACCUUUUUGUUUUUUAUGAUGAUUCUUAUCUGAAACAUUUUCUUGCGUAUUUCCAGGAGCGUUGUCUAUUGCAACUGGCUCAAAGGAACCUUCUGGGUACUGAACAGGAAGAGGUUGGAAAGGCUCGUCAUUCUAAUUGCUGUUAGGAGAUUCACCAAUUGAUUUGUUUGUAGGUCUACCUGUUGGCCUCUUAACCUGAUCUAGUUGAGAUUCAACUAUUGGUUUCUUUCCAGGUCUUCCUCUAGGCCUCUUUGACGAGCUCUCCCCCAUGGCCUUUGUAUUUUGAGAUCUCCGUUUUGGCUUUUUCUUUAACAGAGGAGCUUCUUCCUCAUUCACCCCAACAUUUAGCAUACACCAUAUUUGAAUGAUGCCUCUACCAGUAAGUGGGGUGCCCAUCUUGUGAUAAUAAGAUUCAGGAGGAUGAGCAGCGACAGCAAUGAACUGGGAAAAAGAAGGCAAAAAAAGAAAAAGACAAAACAAGGACAGCCUCGCAAGAUUGCAGCAUUAAGAUGGUGAUAAUUAUUAUUAAAAAUCCUACUUAUUAAGCAUGCAGGCAAUAUUUUAAACCACUGUUUCAGAACAAAUCUAGGCUUUUGUCUCUUUCAUUUGAAAUAACCAAGUAGAUAGAGGUUUGGGCUAUAAUGAUAAAUUGAAGGUGGAAUACACGAAAAAAAAAAAAAAAGAAUAAAAGGUUCCCAGAAGUGGGUUAGGGAUUUGGGAGGGGAGAAGUGGGGAAGUACCUCACAUUUGACAGGACUGUUAGGAUUCUCAUGAACUCUAGGACACCAUUAAUCUAAUGCCCAAACAGACCCUCCAACAUACAUCACGAAGUCCUUGCUGCAAGAUGAUUGUACUUUAAUCAUGUCAUUCAAUAAAUGUAUAAAACAUACCAUUUUGCAGCGGUGUUGGCUUCACAAAUAAAAAUAUUUGGGUGCCCAUACACAGAUCUUAAAUAAGAGGAGCAAUAAUAACACCAAGUUCUUAUCUUAUAACAUGUAUAUGCAUCACAGAUCAACAAGAGCAAACACCAUCCAUAACAUGUUGUUCAUAAGAGUUAAAAUUUUUUAAACAAAGGAGGAAUCCUGUAGGAUAGCAGAACUUUUAUGGUCAAGAAUAAAACUAAGACCUUUUCCAAACCCACAGUACACCAUCCUUUUACCACCUAAACCCAAUAACAUUGGAAACUGAAAUUGCUCCAACCAAAAUCCAAUCUAACAUGGAUUCUGGAGAUGCAUUACUUACUCGUAGUCCUUCCUGCUGCUUCCAUAAGAAAAAAAGAAAGAAAAAAAAGAAAAAAAAAACAACAAUGAGUAUUAACAGAAUAUUAUGCUAUAACAAGUAAAAACUAUUCCAGAAGAUUUAUGCAGUCAUUGAACAUUCCUCCAUGUGAGGGACCCAAAAUAAAAAGAUUUUCUUUCACCUUGGGAACAGUUGCUGAUGAAAACUGAGGCAAGUUUAUGCCACCAGAAACAUCUUUACCCGGUGAGUCUCCUAGUUCGCUAGCAAACCCAAUGAUCCUCGGUUCAUAAUUAAAAUGCCUCCAUUCCCUAAAAGCAUGUUUAAUAGUAAAUUAAGAACUUGUACAUGUCUAUAUUGGACAGAUAAAACUAACAUAAAAAAAAAAAAAUACCCGACGUACAUCAGCAAAGUCAAUUCAAUCGCAUUUGGAAGUUCUAAAUGCACAAAGAUGAGCAUAAAGUUACCUUAAGAAAGUGAUUGAAGAAGAGAAUCUCCGGAUAUCAGUUUCAUCGAGACCAUCAAUCUUGGGUUCUUCACAAAUCUAGAGAUUGUAUCCAUUACCCUAAAAUGUUUCUCGAUUGAAUAACCAAAUAUAGAGAACCUAACUCCAGAAUCACCAUUAAAUGGUGGUUCUUCCAUUUUUCUGUUUCUUUUUUCCUACAUGUAACACAUCUGUUCGUCAAUCACUCAAAUAUGAGACAUAUAAUGCUAGAGAAGUUUUUUUUUUUCUGUUAGUAGGAGAACAAACGUCCGUAUAAAGGAAAGAAAGACAGCGGAAUUAGAACCUACGUCCAUAAGUCUUUUUUAAAAUCUCUUAAUCAUUACAUCAAAAGAAAAGACAUAUAAUGUUAGAGAGUUGAUUAUAAGAAAUAAAACGUAAACUAUAACUGAAUGCUAAAUUUGAUACUUUAACUUAAAAAAAAAUUCAAUUCAAAAAAUUGUUGGAGCCUAACUCUGAGUUGCAAUCAACAAUAUAACUUAAUUUAAACAAAAUAAAUGUAAUAUGGAACAUCACAUUUAAUAAUAAUUACGACGCAUUAACUUGAAAUUCUUUCUAAACCUUUUUCAUCAGUAAACUUAAGUUUUUCCCUCUUAACCAAAAACAACAAAAAAUAAAAUAAAAUAAAAUCCAUGAAUUUCACAUAUUUUUCCUCUCAAAAUUUCGUGACCCAAACAUACCAGUAGGCAACGAUAAUUAGCUCAGAUGACCUGAUUUUAUUUCAAAGCAGACAGAUAAUAUAUGUGCCUCUAAAUGAUGAAAAUUAAAGGUAUUAUAUUUAAAGACAAAUAUGAUUUAUGCCUUAAAUCCAUUAUUUUAAAAAUUAAUAUUUAUGUGUAGCUUAUUCUUUGCCUUUAAUUAUUGGUUUUGUUGUAGUGUAUAAAAAAUAAUGUAUAUUAUAAUUUGAGUUAUAAUCGACUAAGUUUGGGCUUUGAAUGCUAGUCUCAAGUUUCAAUUUACAUUUUAAAAGAACUCGAAGACGUCAAAGGAUAGAGUAUGGGGCAGGUAGAAUAUUUUUCUUUUUUAUUCUCAAAUUUUUAUAUUAUAUUAAUUCUUAUAUCUAUAUUCAAUGAAAAUUUUAAAUUUAUUCACAUUUUUACCUACGAAAAUAUUUAAUUGAUGCAAAUAAUUCUUAUACUCUUAGCUUUUUUAAAAAAUAAAUUUUACCUUUUAAUUUAUUUUAAUUUUUAUCUUACAUAUUCAUAUAAUUUUUUUAUAAAUAUAUUAAUAUAUAUUUAAAAUAAAAUAUAUGUUAAUUUUAAUUAAUCAAAAAUAAAAUUUUAUAUUAUUUAAUAAUAAAUUUAUUUACUAAAUAUAUAGGCAACGGGUACAAAAUAUGUGCUAUAUUACUUGUCUCUAUCCUUGUAUCAAAUAAAAAAUUUUAAAUCAUAUUUAUGCCAUUCUUAAAAUUUAAUACCCAUUUUAAUCCCAUUGGGUAAAAAGUUAGAUUUUCUAUCUGAUAUGGAUAAAAUUAAUAUCCUUAAAUGAGUUUAAUGUUUUACACAAAUCUAUUUAAUGGGUUUAAUAUUUUUGUUUAAACCUUCAAAAAUAUUGAAUGAGCCCUCAAAACUUGAAUGGAUAACUUGACCAUUGGAUAAAUCUAUCAAAAUAUUUAACAUUUUUAUAAAUGUAAAACAAAACAAAAACAAAAAUAAUCGUAAAUAUAAUUUGAGUUUAAAUUUAUAAAUAAUAUGGAUGGUAGUACUUACAAGAGUAAGGAUACAGUUAUAAUGGUGUAAGUUUUACAUUUUUUUUAUAUCAAAAUUAAAUUUAUGUAUUAAAAUAAUAUUUAAUCUCAACCACUUUGAUCUAAUAAUAAAAAAAAAAAUGUAAAACUUAUAUUAACACAAGUGGAUCGCUCAUCUUACCUAUAAUGGUAUACAAUGAAAGACUCUCUCUAAAUUUUUAAUUAUCCACUUGAUAUUUUGCAAAUAAAUUUGUUGAACUUCAAAAUUCCUUCACUGAAUAAGGAAAUAAUCCAAUUGAAUUGCAUUCAAUUUACAUUCAUUGAAUAUGAAUGGUACAACAAAACCAAGUCCUAAUCCCCAUUUCUUAUCGAAUUAACCUAUUUACUUGCCGUCAAAGACUUUUUUUGUAUUAGAAAUUUUCGAAAAGAAGUUGACAAAUUUCACAAGUAAGACAUUAAAAGACAUUAAAUAAAGAUUUAAUUGAAAAAAAUAAAAAUAAAAAAUAGAAAGACAUGAUGAUUUGUUUGGAGUAAGAUGAUGGGUUUAUAGCAUUCAAAAAUUCAGUUUGAUAAUUACUCAUGAUGACGAGUAAAAAAAAUGUUUGGUAGGUUUCUCCUUUAUAUAGUUAUCUUAUAGAAAUGUCAAGUAAUCUGUAAGCUUCCAUAUAAAGUAGGCAGGUUUCUCUUUUAUCUAGUUAUCUUAUAGAAAUGUCAAGUAAUCUGUAAACUUCCAUAUAAAGUAGGUAGGUCUCCCUUUUAUCUAGUUAUCUUAUAGAAAUGUCAAGUAAUCUAUAAACUUGCAUAUAAGGUUUUGAUUGUGAGAUUGAUAUAAUAAAUUCAAAUAAAUAAUAUAAUCAAAAUAUUCUAUUUCUAAAAUGAACCUGCCCUGUUUUAAGAGAAAUGGCCAAUUAAUUGAACUAUAGAAGGCAACCAAAUCGACUUACUCUUUUCCUUUCAUGCAUGAAUCUAAGACUAUUGCUAUCUAUAUAAGAGACUUGUGAUCAGAUCACUAACAUGCAAGUAAAUUAUAACAAUCGCUUUUAUUUUUUUUUUAGUGAAUAUAUGAUAAGAAGUUCAUUAAAACUUCCAAUUAUUUACAAGAAGAAAUACAAAGAUAUGGCUAUGGAAAAGAGGUUUUCUCCUUUUGCAAUUUCUUAUUCAUAUUAUUGUUUCAGACAUAUAUAUAUUUCAUGAUGAUUUUACUGUUGGAUUUUCUUUUUUAGUAGUCAUCAACCUAAUUAAUAAAUAAAUAUGGAAUUGGACAGGUUCUUCUUCGGUCUUCUCAUUGCAGCUAUAGUAAGUGCAAUCAGAGCAGGUGAUGUUAGUUUUGAUAAGAAUUAUCACGUCACAUGGGGAAACUCUCAUGUGACUUCUCUAAACCAAGGAAGAGAAAUUCAUCUUUUAAUGGAUAAUACUUCAGGUUCGAUACAUGAAAACAACUAACUUAUACAUUUGCAUGCAUGUAUAAACGUAUUUAAAAAAGACACGUGCAUAUAUAUAAUCACUCGUAGCUAAACUUUUAAUAUAUGAAAAUGUAAAUUAAAAAACAAAGAAUCACUAAUGGUGGUUAUAUGAAUGCAGGGGCUGGGUUCCAGUCCAAUGUCGGGUAUGCUUCAGGGUUUUUCCAAAUGAAAAUAAAGACACCCAACAAGGAUUCUACUGGAGCUGUUACAACUUUUUAUGUACAUAUAUCUUUUUCUGUACUUUAAAAAAAAAUUCCUGUCUUCUCUAACAUGUAUUAGUUAAAGUAUAAUUUAAUGAACAUUUUGGUGGGUUGAUGGCAUGUAUGCAGUUGACCUCAAAUCCACAAAACACAGGAAACCAUGACGAGCUAGAUUUUGAGUUUUUGGGUAGCAAGGGUCCUCCUUUUACAUUGCAAACAAAUGUUUUCGCUAAUGAUAGAGGAGGCCGAGAGCAAAGGAUUCAUCUUUGGUUUGAUCCCACUGCUGAUUUUCAUACUUACGGAAUUCUUUGGAAUCAGCAUCAAAUAGUGUAAGCAAAAACUAUUCUCUUUAAACUAAUUUGAUUCUAAUUUAACUAGUUACAACAUUGCUUUGAAGUCCUUGGUUUUAUGUUUUGUGCAGGGUUCAUGCAUGGAAAUUAACAUUUCUAAUUUAAGUCUCUUAAAAAUAAUUUGAUUCUUUAACCCUAGUUUUCUUGCCUUUUCAGGUUUUAUGUGGAUAAUACACCCAUAAGAGUUUUCAAGAACAAUACAAAUAUCGGAGUAAAUUAUCCUUCACAACAAUUAGUGAUUCAAGGAAGCCUAUGGAAUGGAGAAGGUUGGGCAUCGGGUGGAAGAAAAAUUGAUUGGAGUCAAGCUCCAUUUAUAGCCAGUUUUCAAGGGUUCAACGUGGAUGGUUGUCAAUUCCACGACACUGCGACCAAAGCGCAAUGCUAUAAUUCUAACUUGUGGUGGAAUGGAAACAAAUAUUUGGAACUAGACCCUGCUCAGCACAAAGCAUUACAGUAUGCAAGAACCAAGUACAUGUUUCAAGACUACUGCACUUCUCCAAGUGGGAGGUACCAUAAAGAAUGCGGAAGUAAUAAAUAAAUGAAGAGAUAAAUAUGUAAAAAUUUCUGCUUAGUUGGAUUGUUUUAUAUGCAAUAUAUAGAUAGCAAAUAAAUUAGAAUAUUUUCAUUAAAAAAUUAUAAACAUUGGUAUUCUUAUCCUUGUACAAAAAUGGAAAUUAUCAUGUUUAUGCCCUUUAAAAAAAAAACAAAAUAAUAAAUAAACCAAACAAAUGUCAAAUUUGUUGGGUAUUUCAAUUUCAAAGUCAAUCCCAAAGUUGCUUUUCCAAUCACAAAUGAGAAUGACGUCAAGCCCAUCCUUCUGGGCCCACAAUGCGGUGCUAUAAAGGCACUUUCACGGAGUUGGGUAUCUUCUCCAUGAUGGUUGGAUCCGACAAGCCACAAUUUAUGAACUUUGUUAGAAGGAAAGGGUCGUUCAAUAAAUUGGUAAGUGAGGUAAACGAUCAAUUCAAAGCCUAUCCAAUAAAAGAUUUUAUAUUUCGUUCAAAAAAAUUUAUAAAAAUACUUAGAGCACCAAAACUAAAAAGCGCACAUGAACAUGUGGAGGUUAGAAAAGUUCUUUCUUGCACUGCUGUGCAACAUGUUUGUCUUUGUUUUCCCACGCUUCCAACUUUCUCUUCUGAAGCCCAACCCGUGUUUGUUAUUUUCCAAAGAUGAACCUUUAGGUACUCUCUCUCAGCCUUGCUGUUCCAAUGUAAAAGGAGUCUCCUCCUAUAUAUAAAAUGCUUAUUUGAUUUGGUUUGCGCAACCGUGUCACCCUCAAAAUGAUUUUAUAUUGAUUCGGUUGGCUUUAAUUUGAUGCCAUCGUCAUAGCACAUGGAAAUCGAUUUAUUUGUGUUUAGUCAUACAUUUACCAUUCGUGAAGAAUUCAACUUUCUUGGUUGUUUUUUUUAAUUUAAAGCCAAAUUAAUCUUGAGAUUGUUUCUGACGUCUGGAUUAAUUAGGCGCACACAAAUACAAUUUAUUGCGUUUGUUUGUUUCAAGAGUGAUAAAAUAGGUUUAUAUGCACCAAAAAUCAAAAUGUUUUUUUUAUAUACUCAACUUUUAUUCCUAAAGUAAAUAAUUGGUAAACAUGAUUCAAACUUUGAAAAACUGACUUAAUUCAUUAAAUUUAAAAUCGAACCUAAUUUAAUUUGAUUAAAAAAAUCAUCGACAUAAAUCUAUUUAACUCAAUUUUAAAAUAACUCUCAAGUUUAAAUUCAAAGUAACUUAAAAUUGAGAUGAUUUAAACUUAAAAAUAAAUCAAAAUGAUUUAUUUCAAACUCGCUUAAUUACCAUACCUCUUUAGGAUCUUUUGAACUUUGUGACUUCAAACUUGGGGGUUGUUAAUUCUUCAAGUUAAGGAAAAAGAAACAGAUUAAUGUGUUAGUCCUCCACAAUCAUUUGUAGUUUGAAGUUGCUUCCAAUUGUUCAAAGCAGUGCUAGAUAGAAUACGUGUAAGAGGUUUGUUGUAUGCGGAUAACAAUGAAGAAGUCAAUAGCGUGUAAGGAAGUUGGAUCAAAUGGUGAUACCUUAUACUUUUCUUUUCUUUUUUGGCUUUUUUCAUGGAUAGAUCUUAGUUGGGAAGCUGGCAGAUCAAAACAUCGAUCCCUAUAUAAACUCACUAAAUGAUAAUGCAGUCGUUACUAAAGAUAUGGAAAUGCAAUAUUUUUCCCUGCAGCUAUGUUUACUUUCAUCAAUAUUUUUCCUUCUUGGCUGCUGCAGCCUGUUUGCAAACACUACUGAUAUUGUUAGAUUUGAUGAAAACUAUGAAAUUACAUGGGGAAGUGAUCAUGUUUUGUCUUUAAAUCAAGGAAGUGAAAUUCAGCUCUCAAUGGAUAUCUCUUCCGGUUAUCUUCUUUCUCUCCUAACACUCACUU